UGAUGUGAAGCGAAACUACAAAAAGUAAGUCUCAGUUCGGAUUGAAGGCUGAAAUUCGCCUUCAUGAAGCCGGAAUUGCUAGUAAUGGCAGGUCAGCAUACUGCCGUGAAUACGUUCCCGGGCCUUGUACACACCGCCCGUCACACCAUGAGAGUUGGAGAUACCCGAAGCCUGUGAGCUAACUUUUAGAGGCAGCAGUCGAAGGUAGAAUCAAUGAUUGGGGUGAAGUCGUAACAAGGUACC
This 243-nucleotide ribosomal RNA is filed under the name uncultured bacterium. RNAcentral's name for it is "partial 16S ribosomal RNA". It matches the Rfam family "Bacterial small subunit ribosomal RNA", at positions 1258 to 1500 of the family's 1533-position model. The record is from RNAcentral.